This 465-nucleotide ribosomal RNA is filed under the name uncultured bacterium. RNAcentral describes it as "partial 16S ribosomal RNA". It matches the Rfam family "Bacterial small subunit ribosomal RNA", at positions 338 to 795 of the family's 1533-position model. The record is from RNAcentral.
CCUACGGGCGGCAGCAGUGGGGAAUAUUGCGCAAUGGGCGAAAGCCUGACGCAGCGACGCCGCGUGAGGGAUGAAGGUCUUCGGAUCGUAAACCUCUGUCAGCAGGGAAGAACGGUCACUGUGCUAAUCAGCAGUGAAUUGACGGUACCUGCAAAGGAAGCACCGGCUAACUCCGUGCCAGCAGCCGCGGUAAUACGGAGGGGGCGAGCGUUAAUCGGAAUUACUGGGCGUAAGGCGCUCGUAGGCGGUAUGUCAAGUCAAGGGUGAAAGCCCCGCGCUCAACGUGGGAACUGCCUUUGAAACGGGCAAACUGGAGUGUGUGAGAGGAGAGUGGAAUUCCAGGUGUAGGAGUGAAAUCCGUAGAUAUCUGGAGGAACAUCAGUGGCGAAGGCGACUAUCUGGCACAUAACUGACGCUGAGGAGCGAAAGCGUGGGUAGCAAACAGGAUUAGAUACCCGGGUAGUC